GAAGGGUUAACUUGGGAUCAUUUGUGGUCCUAAGCAUCGUAUGACAUCUCAAGAUAGAUUUUUGGGAUGUUACAAACUUGGUAUCAGAGAACAAGGUUCAAGUGUCCUAGGCUGUCUGUAAAUCCAUGUCUAGUAGAGUCUUGUGAAAUGGUACAGAGACGUCUGUAAUUUUCUUUGAGAGUCUACAAGGCAUUUAAGAAAAG
Molecule: long non-coding RNA, 203 nt
Filed under: Capsicum annuum
Lineage: Eukaryota; Viridiplantae; Streptophyta; Magnoliopsida; Solanales; Solanaceae
Description: long non-coding RNA (CANN_LNC001800)
Source: RNAcentral